GACGAACGCUGGCGGCGUGCUUAACACAUGCAAGUCGUACGGUAAGGCCCUUUCGGGGGUCCACGAGUGGCGAACGGGUGAGUAACACGUGAGUAACCUGCCCACAACUUUGGGAUAACGCUAGGAAACUGGUGCUAAUACUGGAUAUGUGCUCCUGCUGCAUGGUGGGGGUUGGAAAGCUCCGGCGGUUGUGGAUGGACUCGCGGCCUAUCAGCUUGUUGGUGGGGUAGUGGCCUACCAAGGCGGCGACGGGUAGCCGGCCUGAGAGGGUGACCGGCCACAUUGGGACUGGGAUAAGGCCCAGACUCCGACGGGAGGCAACAGGGGGGAAUAUUGCACAAUGGGCGCAAGCCUGAUGCAGCAACGCCGCGGGCGGGAUGACGGCCUUCGGGUUGGAAACCGCUUUCAGCAGGGACGAAGCUUUUUGUGACGGUACCUGCAGAAGAAGCACCGGCUAACUACGUG
Molecule: ribosomal RNA, 465 nt
Filed under: uncultured bacterium
Lineage: Bacteria
Description: partial 16S ribosomal RNA
Rfam family: Bacterial small subunit ribosomal RNA
Source: RNAcentral